UUUUUACUUAAGAAAAUGUAGGAGAAGGUCAGGCAUGGUGGCUUUACACCUAUAUUCCUAGCACUUUGGGAGGCAGAAGUGGGAGGAUUGCUUGAGCCCAGCCUGGGCAAAAUAGUGAGACCAUGUCUCUACAGAAAAAAAUAUAGCCAGGUGUGGUGGUGUGUGCCUGUGGUCCCAGCUCCCUUGGAGGCUGAGGUGGGAGGGAUCGCUUGAUCCUGGGAGGUUGAGGCUGCAGUGAGCAAGUUAACAUUUUUUGUUACAGGUGGAUAGAUACUUCUCAAGACAUCACACAGCGUGAGUCAAUCAAGGAGGGAAGCCACAAGCAGACUGACAACGUUUCUAGCAGGAUCAGGUGAGCUGUGUCCAGAAAACCAACGAGAAGGAGUGGAAGGAGGAAUGAACGUUUCAUUCUCGUUAAUAAAGGCAUUAUCCUAAUUAUC
Molecule: long non-coding RNA, 440 nt
Filed under: Homo sapiens (human)
Lineage: Eukaryota; Metazoa; Chordata; Mammalia; Primates; Hominidae
Description: non-protein coding lnc-SFPQ-2:9
Source: RNAcentral